UACGGGGGGUGCGAGCGUUGUCCGGAAUCACUGGGUUUAAAGGGUGCGUAGGCGGGCAGGUAAGUCAGUGGUGAAAUCCUAGAGCUUAACUCUAGAACUGCCAUUGAUACUAUCUGUCUUGAAUAUUGUGGAGGUAAGCGGAAUAUGUCAUGUAGCGGUGAAAUGCUUAGAUAUGACAUAGAACACCUAUUGCGAAGGCAGCUUACUACGCAUAUAUUGACGCUGAGGCACGAAAGCGUGGGGAUCAAACAGG
This 253-nucleotide ribosomal RNA is filed under the name uncultured bacterium. RNAcentral's name for it is "partial 16S ribosomal RNA". It matches the Rfam family "Bacterial small subunit ribosomal RNA", at positions 524 to 776 of the family's 1533-position model. The record is from RNAcentral.